UGGGUUGAAGCUGAAACAAUAGCAUUUGGCCGUUAACCAGAAGGAUGAAGGUUUAAUCCCUUUCAACCCAG
RNAcentral lists this transfer RNA (71 nucleotides) under Thyonella gemmata. RNAcentral's name for it is "tRNA-Asn". It matches the Rfam family "tRNA". From Rfam's summary of the family: Transfer RNA (tRNA) molecules are approximately 80 nucleotides in length. The record is from RNAcentral. Lineage: Eukaryota; Metazoa; Echinodermata; Holothuroidea; Dendrochirotida; Cucumariidae.